AAAGAUGAAGUACUUAAACGUAUAUUUUAGUUACAUUAAAAAGGACCUAGGACGAUUAGGCAUCUUUA
This 68-nucleotide transfer RNA is filed under the name Micromelo undatus (miniature melo). Its description in RNAcentral is "Micromelo undata (miniature melo) tRNA-Val". Lineage: Eukaryota; Metazoa; Mollusca; Gastropoda; Aplustridae. The record is from RNAcentral.